AUCACGCAGCUGCUGGGCGGCGGGGCGGGGCCGCCGCCGGCCGUUACUCGCCCCGCGGCCGUUGUCAGGCAGCCUCCGCCUGAGGGGCGGGGGGGGGGGAGGCUGAGGGGCGGGGUGCCCCCCGCUCCUCUUCUCUCUCCUCUCCUCUCCUCCUGUGCCUCCCCUGCGAGGGGUGGCAGGCGCCCGGUGCUGUCAGGUUUCCGCGCUCCGUCCCCAAAAGGGAGCCGCUGUGAGGUCUGGGUUCAUUGCACAACCCUUAACUUUGAUAACGUACUGUGACUUGUGUGCUGGCUGUUGUGUGCGCCAAGUGAACCUGCCGCAUUCAAAGCGCUGAGAGGGGUGAGCCAGGCUGGCUGUUGGAGCAAGCAGGAAGAGAAGGAGCUUCACUGCUGACCUGAAGAGAUGGUGAGAUAAGGAAAAAUGAUGGUAUCAAUGGACUUGAUCUACAAGAAAGCACCAUGAAGUCUUUUCCCAGGAGACAACCGAGAGAAGGACCGGGAAGAACUGACAAGACAAUUUGAUCUGACAUAGAUGAUGACUGAAAACCACCAGCAGAUGCACACAAAACUCUGACCAAUUCCAGAGCAGACUGGUACCUGUCUGCUAACAGCAUGUGGUACUGCUAAAGAAAAAAUGUUCUUUAAGGCAAGCUUAUCACUGCCAUCUCCACAGUGGCAUGUUUGGGUUUUUUUUGAACUCUUUAAGCAGAAGAAAAAGAGUUGCCUGUGUCAUAUGACAUCAUCUUAUGGAAAUUUAAGGCAAUUCAGAACUAGAAGUUAACUCAGUGUGUACAUUGCUUUGCAUAUUUCGUUCCCUUAAAUAUGCAGUUUAAAGGACACUCAGUGACUUUGAAAUAAAAUCUAUUAUUUCUUAUAGUACAUCUAUCUAGUCCCCUAUCUCACUGGAAGUCUCUUUGGUACUACAUCCUUUAAUAAUUUGCUUUUCAUUUUUAAUGCCUUUCUGUCUUUCCAGACUGUCAUGUUGAAAGCUCACACAAGCACCUACUCCCAUGACACUGAAAACUUCUGGCAAAUUGCAAAAUAAAAUAGUUCUGGUGCCACCAGAGUAUAAUCACCACUGGUAUCCAGACCACUUAAAAGAU
Molecule: long non-coding RNA, 1102 nt
Organism: Anas platyrhynchos (mallard)
Lineage: Eukaryota; Metazoa; Chordata; Aves; Anseriformes; Anatidae
Source: RefSeq, a predicted model, not a curated record